AUUGAACGCUGGCGGCAGGCCUAACACAUGCAAGUCGAGCGGAUGAAGGGAGCUUGCUCCUGGAUUCAGCGGCGGACGGGUGAGUAAUGCCUAGGAAUCUGCCUGGUAGUGGGGGAUAACGUCCGGAAACGGGCGCUAAUACCGCAUACGUCCUGAGGGAGAAAGUGGGGGAUCUUCGGACCUCACGCUAUCAGAUGAGCCUAGGUCGGAUUAGCUAGUUGGUGGGGUAAAGGCCUACCAAGGCGACGAUCCGUAACUGGUCUGAGAGGAUGAUCAGUCACAAUGGAACUGAGACACGGUCCAGACUCCUACGGGAGGCAGCAGUGGGGAAUAUUGGACCAUGGGCGAAAGCAUGCUCCAGCCAUGCCGCGUGUGUGAAGAAGGUCUUCGGAUUGUAAAGAACUUUAAGUUGGGAGGAAGGGCAGUAAGUUAAUACCUUGCUGUUUUGACGUUACCAACAGAAUAAGCACCGGCUAACUUCGUG
This 484-nucleotide ribosomal RNA is filed under the name uncultured bacterium. RNAcentral's name for it is "partial 16S ribosomal RNA". It matches the Rfam family "Bacterial small subunit ribosomal RNA", at positions 30 to 507 of the family's 1533-position model. The record is from RNAcentral.